GAUGACGCUGGCUACGGGCUUAACACAUGCAAGUCGAGGGGAAACGACGGGGAAGCUUGCUUCCCCGGGCGUCGACCGGCGCACGGGUGAGUAACGCCUAUCCAACCUGCCUCUGACUGAGGGAUAACCCGUCGAAAGUCGGCCUAAUACCUCAUGGCAUCGUCUGCGGGCAUCCAACGACGAUUAAAGAUUUCAUCUGUCAUGGUUGGGGAUGCGUCUGAUUAGCUUGUUGGCGGGUUAACGGCCCACCAAGGCUACGAUCAGUAGGGGUUCUGAGAGGAAGGUCCCCCACAUUGGAACUGAUACACAUGCCACACUCCUACGGGAGGCAUCAGUGAGGAAUAUUGGGUCAAUGGGCUAGAGCCUGAAUCUGCCUAGUAUGGUGGAGGAGGACUUUUUUUUUGUGGGCCCCCCCCCCCCCCCCUUUAGCGUGGAUAUAAGUGGAUGAAAAAAGGGGUGGUGUCGGGUGCACUGUACUGUGGGGAAAUAAUUGACCUAUUGUAUUUUACUGGUCAUGUGUGUGCGUGGUGAAGACGGGAGGGGUGCGUCGCCGUUGAUGCGGGAUUUGUUGGUGCGUGUAAAGGGGAGUCGAUGUCGUGGAUGUAUGCUGGGUUGUGGAGUGUGCUUGUGUCGCUAGCUGAUUCGGCUACCUGCAAGCAGUCGAAUCUGUUUCUAUCUUUUGCUAUGUUGCCUGUGAUAGGUACAUGUCGCAGUUCUUGCAGUGUCCUAGUGUAUAUUGCACAUGUUCUAUAUCGAUGUGUGAAGAAAUGAUGAUUGAGCCGUAUAAUAUACGUCGCUCCUGUAGAUAUGUCUUUAGCUUUAUAGCUCGCUCAUCUUUGUGCUGACUAGCGUAGACGUAGAAAGUGAUACGUACUGCACUACUAGUAGUAGAACUCACAG
RNAcentral lists this ribosomal RNA (900 nucleotides) under uncultured Fusobacterium sp. RNAcentral describes it as "partial 16S ribosomal RNA". The stretch from base 17 to 375 matches the Rfam family "Bacterial small subunit ribosomal RNA", at positions 45 to 393 of the family's 1533-position model. The record is from RNAcentral. Lineage: Bacteria; Fusobacteriati; Fusobacteriota; Fusobacteriia; Fusobacteriales; Fusobacteriaceae.